ACGGGUGAGUAAUGCCUAGGAAUCUGCCUGAUAGUGGGGGAUAACGUUCGGAAACGGACGCUAAUACCGCAUACGUCCUACGGGAGAAAGCAGGGGACCUUCGGGCCUUGCGCUAUCAGAUGAGCCUAGGUCGGAUUAGCUAGUUGGUGAGGUAAUGGCUCACCAAGGCGACGAUCCGUAACUGGUCUGAGAGGAUGAUCAGUCACACUGGAACUGAGACACGGUCCAGACUCCUACGGGAGGCAGCAGUGGGGAAUAUUGGACAAUGGGCGAAAGCCUGAUCCAGCCAUGCCGCGUGUGUGAAGAAGGUCUUCGGAUUGUAAAGCACUUUAAGUUGGGAGGAAGGGCAUUAACCUAAUACGUUAGUGUUUUGACGUUACCGACAGAAUAAGCACCGGCUAACUCUGUGCCAGCAGCCGCGGUAAUACAGAGGGUGCAAGCGUUAAUCGGAAUUACUGGGCGUAAAGCGCGCGUAGGUGGUUUGUUAAGUUGGAUGUGAAAUCCCCGGGCUCAACCUGGGAACUGCAUUCAAAACUGACUGACUAGAGUAUGGUAGAGGGUGGUGGAAUUUCCUGUGUAGCGGUG
Molecule: ribosomal RNA, 585 nt
Filed under: uncultured Pseudomonas sp.
Lineage: Bacteria; Pseudomonadati; Pseudomonadota; Gammaproteobacteria; Pseudomonadales; Pseudomonadaceae
Description: bacterial SSU rRNA
Rfam family: Bacterial small subunit ribosomal RNA
Source: RNAcentral